CAUCGAUUCUUGGAUCAUUUGAAUCCUCGAUUGAUUCUUUUAGCUAUAGGAAUUUUUUUCUCUAGUUUUGUAAUUUACUCAACUUUUUUGGGGGAUUCCAAGCAAUGACAAGCUGCGAUCUCCUUACAUCUUAGCUUCUUUCCCCCCUCUUUGGAUUGAGGGCUUGAAGAGCCGAGAGUGUUUACAGUGAAGAGAGUAGCCGGUGUACAAAUUAAACGUAGCCACUGGCCAGCGUUGCCUGCAGAUUUGACAGCAAUGCCAAACAAUCUCUUUUAAUUUCCCUUUUUAUUUUCCCGCGGUGAUCUCUAAUAGUAGGACCUGAGUCUGCUGAUCUUAGUUAUUAAUGGAUUUAUUUUCUUGGUGCAAGCCGAAUUUCUUUAAUUUUGGGAUUUAGUUAUAAAUGACUUAGGAUUAAACUUUCAUCAUCUGGCAUGUGCAAAGGUUUGUUAUUGUGGGGCAGGGAUUUUUUUAUUUUUAUUUUGCGAAUGAGCCAAAAAAAAAGAGCAGGAGGCUCAUAAGUGUUGUACUGGCCUCUGCCUCAGCUUAUUUAUCCAGGUCAAGCUCUCUGUGUCCCUAGCAGCAGAAACAAGGCGCAUUGCUUCUCUGUUGGCACCUUCAUUUCUUGGAAAAUCACCCCUUUCUUUGGACAAUGCUGUCCCUGUCCUUCAUGGUGUGCAUUCUCCUUAUUGCUGUACAGAUAAACUUCCAAAUAUGCAAUGCCACUCCCCUCGGGUGGCAGUCAGGUGAUGGAGUAGUGGUAUCGGCACACAGAUAACAUUUUGCAUCCAUGCUCUAUGGAGUUUGGUGACGUCUGAUCCACGCGCCUAAUUAGCACGCAAUGCCAGUUUUCAAGGCGUGAUAUUCGGGAGUUGUGGGAACCAGUGCUAGUAGUACUGUACUCCAUCAUUAUACACUUGAUCCCAGUAAAUCCUUGGCACUGAAAUACUUGCUCGGCCCUGGUAAAUUCUGUGCAGCUGAGCCAUGACUUGAUUUUCUUAUGUGACUUGCCACGCCCUUUUCAGUUAUUUUUCUAAAAAGGGAGAUGGCACUUUUGCCAUUAGCUAGUACACUUUAGUGCAAGUACUGGUACUACCUCCUUUUCGGUUUAUAGGGCUCAAUCAAAAAUCUCAUCAACCAAGGUAGAUGGUGAGUGGUGGAAUAGUUUUUAUAAUUUGCAAAAACACUCAAUUAAUGCACUCGUUUCCCUCAAAAAUUAUGUUUACCAAUGCAUUAAUUGCAAUGCAUGCAUGCAUGAAGUCCAUGCAUUGGUUAAUUUUUUCUUAAUACUUGCAUGCAAUGAUUUAAUGCACCUUGAAAUUUAAACAUGUGGUAGGGAACCAUCAAAUUGAGACUUAUAAAAUGAGAAAUCUAAAAUUUUGAGAUAAGCCCUAUAAACUGAAAAGGAGGGAGUACUACUGAAAGUUGUGUGCAUCAUAGGGCCAUCCUUUUGGUAAUAAAGUGACAUCCUCUCAAUAAUAAAAAUGCCAACCUAUUAUUAAUAAAAAAUGAUAUGCUCUUAGUAAUAAAAACCGCCAUGCCAUUAAAAACAAAAAUUUCAUCCUAAUAAAAUUGCCAUCCUCUUAAAAAAUGCCAUGUUAUUAAUAAAAACUGCCAUGCUAUAAAUAAUAAAAUUGUCAAGUUUUUUUGAGCGAAAAUAAAAUUGUCAAGUGAGAAAGCUAAAAAUAUUAGGAUUUUUGAACAAAUAUAAAAACAAAUUAGCAUCACNNNNNNNNNNNNNNNNNNNNNNNNNNNNNNNNNNNNNNNNNNNNNNNNNNNNNNNNNNNNNNNNNNNNNNNNNNNNNNNNNNNNNNNNNNNNNNNNNNNNNNNNNNNNNNNNNNNNNNNNNNNNNNNNNNNNNNNNNNNNNNNNNNNNNNNNNNNNNNNNNNNNNNNNNNNNNNNNNNNNNNNNNNNNNNNNNNNNNNNNNNNNNNNNNNNNNNNNNNNNNNNNNNNNNNNNNNNNNNNNNNNNNNNNNNNNNNNNNNNNNNNNNNNNNNNNNNNNNNNNNNNNNNNNNNNNNNNNNNNNNNNNNNNNNNNNNNNNNNNNNNNNNNNNNNNNNNNNNNNNNNNNNNNNNNNNNNNNNNNNNNNNNNNNNNNNNNNNNNNNNNNNNNNNNNNNNNNNNNNNNNNNNNNNNNNNNNNNNNNNNNNNNNNNNNNNNNNNNNNNNNNNNNNNNNNNNNNNNNNNNNNNNNNNNNNNNNNNNNNNNNNNNNNNNNNNNNNNNNNNNNNNNNNNNNNNNNCCUCCAUGGCGCACCUUGGUUGUGCACUUUUUGAAGAAAAAAACAAAGUGAGUGUUGGCUAGGAAGAGGCUUACAGCGAAUGCGUCCAGAAAACGUAUGGCAUCGGUCUUGUGCAAGAUACAUGCAAUGGCGGGGAAGGACUACGCUGGGGUUGGCCUCCUGGCUAUUGCUUGCCAGGGUUUUCCUCCCUCGUAUGAUUGUCCCCCUCCUCUCACUCACACAUGUUUGAGGAAAAAAUGGGGACGCAAUCCAUCAUUCUCAGUGCAUGUCUCUCGUGAAAAACUCGGAACACACCAUGCAUGUUUUGAUUCAUCGAUUGCGGCAACCGCCUACACCUCCCGCCUGUGCUACUCGGCAAGCUCCUCAUCAUGCUCCUGUCAUGGUUGCUCCUUCUCCUCGGGUCUGAGAGUGACAAUGGCGUUAAGUUGCGCGAGCAUCGGGACGAUGUUGGCUGCAUGCUGAGGUUAUGGUGAAUGAUGGUGGUAUGGAGGGUGUGGCACACGAUUAUUUAUGCAAGUAGUGAUGUCUUCAUAAUAAGUGAAGGAUUGAAUUUGUCUGGAAUAAAGACUAGAGCAGAAGUGAGCACUGCUUCUCUUUUCUUUAAGAGGGUUUUAUGUAAGUAAAUUUGAAAUGAUGGAUUGGACGAAGUGUGGGUGAUGGAUGGGUGUAUGUAUGACAUGUGCUUUCUAUGCAUAUGAUAUAUGUUUGUGACUUCAAAUUGCUUAUCUAGACAGAUAUUGUAAUGGAUUUAUUUAUUUAUUAGAUCUUUGACAUGAAUGCAAUUUGAUCUUAUUUCAAAACAAAACAAGAGUGUUGAUUCAGGCUGAUUGUGGUAGUUACAUGGUGGUCGACAAAGACAGAGAUGUUCAUCCUUCUUAUGAGGUGGUAAAAGAAUUAACUGCAUACUCAUGCUCAUAACAUAAGUCCUCUACAUCGACGCAUCAACAUAUAUAUUUUCACUCCGCAGCAGUACAUAUGUAUUUAGCUAGCAAACAAUUAUGUGAUAGAUUGUCAUAGUUGACUCCAUGGUGUUUUAGAAAAUAUGUUUAUGAUUUCUCUUUAAUUGAAAACUAUAUUUAUUAAGUGAAUGUUGCAAGAUAUAGUUUUGAUAUUAUUAUCGUGUUGAAAUACAUGGAAGAUAAAGAAUAAAAAGAACCCAACUAACGCGUGAAGGGCUCGUCGCAUGACAACCACAAUCACUGCUCACGUGUGUCGUGCUCUCAUCAUCAAGUUGAGUUGAUGCCAUAUGGUGUGAUCAGAUGGUGCAGGUCGGCGUCGCGUGAUGCGUCUUACAUGCGAAUGUUCGCAUUAUUUGCCAUAAAAUAAUAUGCAUCAGUCCUAUGAUUUGCACUCCUACUGUGUAGAUUCUCAUGUCCAAUUCAAUGACAAGAUUAACUCUGGUAACCUUGCUGCAAGUAUCUACAAUAAACAAAACAACGUCAACAGGAGUCGAAUCAACCACUUCCUGAACACUCUCAAUAGUUGCAACUUGCAAGAAAUUCACCUAAAAAUUCAUAGAUUCACCUGGAGCAAUGAAAGGAUGAACUCCAUGAUGAGGAAGCUUGGCUCUUUCUUUUGCAAUGCCGAAUAGGGCAUCCAUUUCAACACCCAUGUCAUCCACGCAUUCUCAACUUCACUCUCCGACCAUUGUCUCCUAUUGCUCGCUGAUGAUAGAGGACCCACAAGGGCAAGGGUGUUCAAGCUCGAAAUUUUUUGGUCCUCAAUAUCGGGUUUCACCAAGGUUAGGAGCAUCUAAGAGUUCUAGCAAAGAUCCAUCAAAGAUAAAGCAUGAUCACGGUCUGCGGAGGGAGGGGGCGGUUUGUCCCCCACCUCAACACAGUUGCGUCCUGUCAACUAGCCAUCUUGAUGUUAGCGUUGGAUGUGGACCAACUCUCGGCGGAGCCUGAUGCAAUGGUCAAGCUCUACCACCUCCGAACCUUUGGUGGGGUGGUCGCCCCUUCCAUGAUUUUGUAUGGAAGAGCAAGACGUCAUCUCAUAUUUUCUUCUUCCCAUGAUUGCUCGUUCAAGACCGGACCCACACCAGGAAUUCGUUGAUGAGGAAGCGCAUCAUCUACGCUGCCAAGGAUAGUUGCCCAAUCUUGUGCGGCAACGUCGGAUACUAGGGAUCACCUGAUCUUCCGAUGUCGUUUCGCCCAGAGAUUUCGAUCCUCUAUUGGGGUCUCAACUAAGUGCGGGGCUUAUGUUCAAACCUUGCAGGACGGCAAUCUCCCGUACACUGCCCUGUGGUGCUCAACGUUCAUGUUCAUUCUCCUUUGUUGCUGGUAGCCAUGGAAGCACCGCAACAGGGUUGUCUUCAACGAUGACCCCCCCUCUCAUGCCUUCUGAGCUUGAGCCAUGAGGACGCCAUCCUCUCGAAGUGUCGAUUACGUCUAUCUAAUAGGGAUGAUGUGGACACCUGGCUCGAUUGUUUAACUAUAGGCCAAGAUAUCUCCUCCUCCCCCCUCUUUCAUACACGCCCUUCUUGUAAAAACUUGGGUUUGUGCCCCGCAGGGAACUUCCAAAAGAAAAGAAAAGAUGAUCACACAAAGUUGUUUGUGUGUGGGUUGAUGAGCAAGCUUGCCUUUUUCUUUUGCAACGUCGAAUGGGACAACCAUUUCAAAACCCAUGUCAUUCACGCACUACCAACUUCACUCUCCGACCAUAGUCCCCUCGUGCUUGCUGAUGAUAGAGGACCCAUAAGGGCAAGGUUGUUCAAGUUUGAAUUUUUUUUGGGCCUCAAUGUCGGGUUUCAGCAAGGUUAGAAGCAUCUAAGAGUUCUAGCAAAGAUCCAUCAAAGAUAAAAGCAUGAUCACGGUCUGUGGAGGGGGCAACUUGUCCCCUGCCUCAACACGGCUAGGUCUUGUCAGCUAGCCGUCUUGAUGUUGGCGUUGGAUGGGGACCAACUCUCGGCAGAGCCUGAUGCUAAUGGUCAAGCUCUACCACCUCUGCACCUUUAGUGGGGUGGUUGCCCCUUUCCAUGAUUUCAUUUGGAAGAGCAAGGCGCCAUAUCAGGUUCGCUUCUUCGCAUGGUUGUUGGUUCAGGACCGGGCCCACACCAGGAGUGCACUGCUGAGGCAGUGCAUCAUCUCUGCUGCUAAGGAUGGUUGCCGCAUCCUCUACGGCUACCUGGGAGACUAGGGAUCACCUGAUAUUCCGAUGUCAUCUCGCCUAGAGCUUCUGGGCCGCUAUUGGGGCCUUAAUGGAGUGCGGGGCUUCUAUUCGAACCUUGUAGGACGUCAAUCUCCCGCCUACUGCCCCGCAGUGCUCGACGCUCCUGUUCAUUCUCCUUUGUUGCUGGUGGCUAUGAAAGCAUCACAACAGGGUUGUUUGCAAUGGUGACGCUAACCUCUCUCGUGCCUUCGAAGCUUGUGCCAUGAGGACGACAUCAUCUGGCAAUGUAGAUUACCUUGUUGCUUGAUUUUAUAACUGUUAGGCCAGGCUAGCUCCUACUUCCCCCUUUUUGAUACGCCCCCUUCUUGUAAAAACUUGGGUUUGUGCCCCAUGUACUUAAUAUACUAGAAUGAGGCCCUGCGAGUUGCUGCGGGAUGCAUGUUUAAUUCAAUGGUAUUUUCAUACUUCACUAAUACAUUCGCCUCGUGUGCUAAACAAUUAUAGAAAUGGUCUGAUGACCCCACCAGCUCCAAUCCUAAAAUAUAAUAAGGUUGCAAAUAUGGAGCGGUGUAAAAUGCUUAAAACCAAGUAGUGAAAAAAUCUAUAGAAAGGCACAGUAACAUCAUGCACAAUAUGGUGAUAUUGCUGGUUAAUUUUGUUUUCACCAGUGAAGAACCAUUGGCUGAAAGAUGAUGUGCGCACCCAUAUUCAGAAUACUUGAUAUGCGUCCCAGUCGAUGACCCUUCCACCUGCAGCCCCAAUGUCUUACUACUGCAAAUUUUUGCUUAAGAACAUUAGAUGCAAACUAUAUGACGUUUCAUUUACUUCGGCGGUAUCAGCAAGAAAUACACAUAAUUAGUUGAACUGAACCCUGCCGCUCUCACUCAAAUCAUUCAGGUCGUGAUAGGAGGAGGCGUCACAGUAGAGAAAUCUACAAAUAAUUCACACAAAUGUUCAGGUUGCCACCGUUCGCUGCAGACCACCCAAGUCCGCAACAAAUUGUUAUUCCUGAAUUUGCGGUGUGUCUGGCCCAUCCUCAUCAUUGCAUUCUGCGCGGCCUCCAUCGUGACUACCGAGGCGCCACGCUCAUCGCGGAGGCCAACACUGUCCUCAGCCUUCGAAGGCACGUGCAAACAACAUGAGUGCGGCAUGCUAAAUCUUCACAUCUGGCAGGCCAGGCUUAGACCGGCUGCGAUGGAGUGCGCACCGUCAAUGCUCAUGCAGGAAGUCGGUCGUGCGUUGGUGAUGGGGAUGUUCGUCAGCGACACGUGCGUCUCCGCCUGAUGUCGUAUGAUGCCAGAUCGUGCUCGGCCGGCUUCGACUUCUAUGUCUAGCCGCAAAGGAGUGUGCACCGUCGAAGCUCAGGCGGCCGAUCGAUCGUGUGCUGCUGAUGAGGAUGUUCAUCAACGACAAGAGCGCCUCUGUCUGGUGUCGUACAAUGCCAGAUCGUCCUCGGCCAGGUUCUACUUCUAUGUGAGGCGUACGUCGGUGACAUAGCAUUAGAAUUGAAGCCUUGGAAGGCUGGAAGUAUCAUAUCUAUCAAGGCACGGUCGCCAAGGAGGAAUAGGAGCUCCUUAUAUACGCAGACGAAGAAGAAGAGGAGUAGUGAAGAAUAUGAAGGUGAAGGGAAUUGAAGGGAAUUUAGUAUGGAUCAAACAGAUUGAGAGGGAAAUCAAUCGGUGGGGGUAACUGAAAAGAUAAAAAGAAAAUAAUCUCUACUAUUAAAGGAGAAUCGAACGUCGUGAUGGUUCGACCUCCUUCACUCCCCCGGUCUCGUUAGGUCCUCCCAUAGUACCACCUCCCUCGCACGAUUUCUCCGUAAAAAAAAUAUUAGCCACGACUGCCGCCCCUUUGUUCUCCCAACCCCUCGCUCCCGAUUCCCUCACGGCCUCACCCUCAUGAUCCACCCACGAUCUCCCCUCUCCACUCCCAACUCACCCGAUCGCAGGGAGUCUAACAAGCAGUUUCGUCUUCCACGGUUCCAUCCCAUCAGCCACCGCCGAUCCACUUACCCCGUCCCAUCUUCUUGCGGAUCUCCUCAUGGCCGCCGCAUCUCACCACCGCCACCAUCUCCCGUACAAAUCUUCGGCUCCAUCCCCCGUGUCUCCGCCUGCGUCGACUCCUCCUCCUUUGCGACAUGAACGGCGAUCGACUGGUUGACCAUUUCAUUCUCGCCGUCGGUGGCCGCCGCCCUGCAGCUGCUGUUCCGGGCGUGGAGCUCCCUCUCCGUGUCGCUGCUUAGAGGAGCGGUGAUGCUAUGCAUGGCCAUGUUGAUUAUGGUGCUCGCCCAGAUGGCCUUCCUCGGGACGGUUAGCGCCGCGGCGAAGAUGAGACAAGCCGCUGGCGGCGGCGGCGGCCGGCUAUUCUGCCUUGAGACAAAGAGGCUGGCGGCUCCGCGACCUGCUUCCCCAUGGUAAUGAGAGGUAUGUACUGUUGGAAAUAUGCCCUAGAAGCAAUAAUAAAUAGGUUAUUAUUAUAUUUCCUUGUUCAUGAUAAUAGUUUAUUAUCCAUGCUAGAAUUGUAUUGAUAGGAAACUCAGAUACAUGUGUGGAUACAUAGACAACACCAUGUCCCUAGUAAGCCUCUAGUUGACUAGCUCGUUGAUCAAUAGAUGGUUACGGUUUCCUGACCAUGGACAUUGGAUGUCGUUGAUAACGGGAUCACAUCAUUAGGAGAAUGAUGUGAUGGACGAGACCCAAUCCUAAGCCUAGCACAAGAUCGUGUAGUUCGUUUGCUCAGAGCUUUUCUAAUGUCAAGUAUCAUUUCCUUAGACCAUGAGAUUGUACAACUCCCAGAUACCGUAGGAAUGCUUUGGGUGUACCAAACGUCACAACGUAACUGGGUGACUAUAAAGGUGCACUACAGGUAUCUCCGAAAGUGUCUGUUGGGUUGGCACGAAUCGAGACUGGGAUUUGUCACUCCGUGUAAACGGAGAGGUAUCUCUGGGCCCACUCGGUAGGACAUCAUCAUAAUGUGCACAAUGUGACCAAGGAGUUGAUCACGGGAUGAUGUGAGUUACGGAACGAGUAAAGAGACUUGCCGGUAACGAGAUUGAACAAGGCAUAGGGAUACCGACGAUCGAAUCUCGGGAAAGUAACAUACCGAUAGACAAAGGGAAUUGAAUACGGGAUUGAUUGAAUCCCCGACAUCGUGGUUCAUCCGAUGAGAUCAUCGUGGAACAUGUGGGAGCCAACAUGGGUAUCCAGAUCCCGCUGUUGGUUAUUGGCCGGAGAACGUCUCGGUCAUGUCUGCAUGGUUCCCGAACCCGUAGGGUCUACACACUUAAGGUUCGAUGACGCUAGGGUUAUAGGGAAAGCAUGUACGUGGUUACCGAAUGUUGUUCGGAGUCCCGGAUGAGAUCCCGGACGUCACGAGGAGUUCCGAAAUGGUCCGGAGGUAAAUAUUUAUAUAUGGGAAGUCCUGUUUUGGUCACCGGGAAAGUUUCGGGUUAUAUCGGUAAUGUACCCGGACCACCGGGAGGGUCCCGGGGGUCCAGCAAGUGGGGCCACCAGCCCCAGAAGGCUGCGUGGGCCAAGUGUGGGAGGGGACCAGCCCCAGGUGGGCUGGUGCGCCCCCCCCACAAGAGGCCCAGGGCGCAGGAAAGGAGGGAAGGGGGAAACCCUAGGCUCAGAUGGGCCUAAGGCCCAUCUAGUGGGGCGCCCCCUCUCUCCCCCCUUUGGCCGCCCCCCAAGCCCCAUCUAGGGCUGGCNNNNNNNNNNNNNNNNNNNNNNNNNNNNNNNNNNNNNNNNNNNNNNNNNNNNNNNNNNNNNNNNNNNNNNNNNNNNNNNNNNAGACAUGAGAACGUCUCUCUUUCGGCGCAGCCCUACCCCUCUCCCUCCUCCUCCUCUCCCGCGGUGCUUGGCAAAGCCCUGCGGGAUUGCCACGCUCCUCCAUCACCACCACGCCGUCGUGCUGCUGCUGGAUGGAGUCUUCCCCAACCUCUCCCUCUCUCCUUGCUGGAUCAAGGCGUGGGAGACGUCACCGGGCUGCACGUGUGUUGAACGCGGAGGCACCGUUCUUCGGUGCUUAGAUCGGAAUCAACCGCGAUCUGAAUCGCUACGAGUACGACUCCCUCAUCCGCGUUCUGGCAACGCUUCCGCAUCGCGCUCUACAAGGGUAUGUAGAUGCACUCCCCUUCCCCUCAUUGCUAGAUUACUCCAUAGAUUGAUCUUGGUGAUGCGUAGAAACUUUUGAAUUUCUGCUACGUUCCCCAACAGUGGCAUCAUGAGCUAGGUCUAUGCGUAGUUUCUAUGCACGAGUAGAACACAAAGUAGUUGUGGGCGUAGAUGUUGCCAAUUCUUCUUGCCGCUACUAGUCUUAUCUUGUUUCGGCGGCAUUGUGGGAUGAAGCGGCCCGGACCGACCUUACACGUACGCUUACGUGAGACAGGUUCCACCGACUGACAUGCACUAGAUGCAUAAGGUGGCUAGCAGGUGUCUGUCUCUCCCACUUUAGUCGGAACGGAUUCGAUGAAAAGGGUCCUUAUGAAGGGUAAAUAGAAAUUGGCAUAUCACGUUGUGGUCUUACGUAGGUAAGAAAUGUUCUUGCUAGAAACCUAUACAAGCCACGUAAAAAACUUGCAACAACAAUUAGAGGACGUCUAACUUGUUUUUGCAGCAUGUGCCUUGUGAUGUGAUAUGGCCAGAAGAUGUGAUGAAUGAUAUAUGUGAUGUAUGAGAUUGAUCAUAUUCUUGUAAUAGGAAUCACGACUUGCAUGUCGAUGAGUAUGACAACCGGCAGGAGCCAUAGGAGUUGUCUUUAUUUUUUGUAUGACCUGCGUGUCAUUGAAUAACGCCAUGUAAAUUACUUUACUUUAUUGCUAAGCGCGUUAGCCAUAGAAGUAGAAGUAAUCGUUGGCGUGACAACUUCAUGAAGACACAAUGAUGGAGAUCAUGAUGAUGGAGAUCAUGGUGUCAUGCCGGUGACAAAGAUGAUCAUGGUGCCCCGAAGAUGGAGAUCAAAGGAGCAAAAUGAUAUUGGCCAUAUCAUGUCACUAUUUGAUUGCAUGUGAUGUUUAUCAUGUUAUGCAUCUUAUUUGCUUAGGACGACGGUAGCAUAAAUAAGAUGAUCCCUCCCUAAAAUUUCAAGAGACGUGUUCCCCCUAACUGUGCACCGUUGCGAAGGUUCGUUGUUUCGAAGCACCACGUGAUGAUCGGGUGUGAUAGAUUCUAACGUUCAAAUACAACGGGUGUUGACGAGCCUAGAAUGUACAGACAUGGCCUCGGAACACAUGCGAAACACUUAGGUUAACUUGACGAGCCUAGCAUGUACAGACAUGGCCUCGGAACACAAGAGACCGAAAGGUCGAACAUGAGUCGUAUAGUAGAUACGAUCAACAUGGAGAUGUUCACCGAUGAUGACUAGUCCGUCUCACGUGAUGAUCGGACAUGGCCUAGUUUGACUCGGAUCAUGUAUCACUUAGAUGACUAGAGGGAUGUCUAUCUGAGUGGGAGUUCAUUGAAUAAUCAGAUGAACUUCAUUAUCAUGAACAUAGUCAAAAGGUCUUUGCAAAUUAUGUCAUAGCUUACGCUUUAGUUCUACUGUUUAAGAUAUGUUCCUAGAGAAAAUUUAGUUGAAAGUUGGUAGUAGCAAUUAUGCGGACUGGGUCCGUAAACUGAGGAUUGUCCUCAUUGCUGCAUAGAAGGCUUAUGUCCUUAAUGCACCGCUCGGCAUGCUGGACCUCAGCAUCGUCUGUAGAUGUUGCGAAACAUUUGACAUACAUGUUUUGAUGACUACGUGAUAGUUCAGUGCGUAAUGCUAACGGUUUAGAAUUGUGGCACCAAAGAUGUUUUUGAAACGUCGCAGAACAUAUGAGAUGUUCCGAAGACUGAAAUUGGGAUUUCGGACUAGUGCCCACGUCAAGAGGUAUGAGACCUCUGACAAGUUUCUUACGCCUGCAAACUAAGGGAGAAAAAAACUCAAUCGUUGAGCAUGUGCUCAGAUUGUCUGAGUACUACAAUCACUUGAAUCGAGUGGGAGUUGAUCUUCCAGAUGAGAUAGUGAUGGUUCUCCAUAGUCACUGCCACCAAGCUAUUAGAGCUUCGUGAUGAACUAUAACAUAUCAGGGAUAGACAUGAUGAUCCUUGAGUAGCUCGCGAUGUUUGACACCGCGAAAGUAGAAAUCAAGAAGGAGCAUCAAUUGUUGAUGGUUAGUAAAACCACUAGUUUCUAGAAGGGCAAGGGCAAAAGGGAUACUUCAUGAAACAGCAAAACGCUUGCUGGUCUAGUGAAGAAUCCCAAGGUUGAACCCAAACCCGAGACUAAGUGCUUCUGUAAUGAGGGGAACGGUCACUGAAGCAGUACUACCCUAGAUACUUGGUAGAUGAGAAGGCGGGCAAGGUCGACAGAAGUAUAUUGGAUAUACGUUAUAUGAAUGUGUACUUUACUAGUACUCCUAGCAGCACUAGGGUAUUAGAUACCGGUUCGGUUGCUAAGUGUUAGUAACUCGAAAUAAAAGCUGCGGAAUAAACGGAGACUAGCUAAAGGUGAGAUGACGAUAUGGAAGUGUUUCCAAGGUUGAUGUGAUCAAGCAUCGCAUGCUCCCUCUACCAUCGAGAUUUGGUGUUUGCGUUGAGCAUGAUUGGAUUAUGUUUAUCGCAAUACGGUUAUUCAUUUAAGGAGAAUAAUGGUUACUCUGUUUAUUUGAAUAAUACCUUCAAUGGUCUUACACCUAAAAUGAAUCUCGAUCGUAGUGAUACACAUGUUCAUGCCAAAAGUAAUGAUAGUACCACAUACUUGUGGCACUGCCAUUUGAGUCAUAUUGGUCUAGAACGCAUGAAGAAGCUCCAUGUAGAUGGACCUUUGGACUCACUCGUUUUUUGAAAAGAUUGAGACAUGCGAACCAUGUCUAUUGGUAUAUAUGCAUGAAGAAACUCCAUGCAGAUGGAUUGUCUGGACUCACUUGAUUUUGAAUCACUUGAGACAUGCAAAUCAUACCACAUGGGCAAGAUGACUGAAAGUCCUCGUUUUCAGUAAGAUGGAACAAGAGAGCAACUUAUUGGAAGUAAUACAUUUUGAUGUAUGCAGUCCAAUGAGUGCUGAGGCAUGCAGUGGAUAUCGUUAUGUUCUUACUUCACAGAUGAUUUGAGUAGAUGUUGAGUGUAUUUACUUGAUGAAACACAAGUCUGAAUUAUUGAAAGGUUCAAGUAAUUUCAGAGUGAAGUUGAAGAUCGUCGUGACAAGAGGAUAAAAUGUCUGUGAUAUGAUCAUAGAGAUGAGUAUGUGAGUUACGAGUUUGGCACACAAUUAAGACACUGUGGAAAGUGUUUCACAAUUAAUACCGCCUGGAACACCAUAGUGUGAUGGUGUGUCCGAACAUCAUAACUGCACCCUAUUGGAUAUGGUGCAUACCAUGAUGUUUCUUAUCGAAUUACCACUAUCGUUUAUGGGUUAGGCAUUAGAGAUAACCGCAUUCACUUUAAAAGGGGCACCACGCAAUUCCGUUGAGACGACACCGUUUAGAGAAACCUAAGUUGUCGUUUCUUAAAAGUUUGGGGCUGCGAUGCUUAUGUGAAAAAGUUUCAGGCUGAUAAGCUCGAACCCAAAGCGGAUAAAUGCAUCUUCAUAGAAUACCCAAAAUAGUUGAGUAUACCUCCUAUUUCAGAUCUGGAAGCAAAAGUAAUUGCUUCUAGAAACAGGUCCUUUCUCGAGGAAAAGUUUCUCUCGAAAGAAUUGAGUGGGAGGGUGGUGGAGACUUGAUAAGGUUAUUGAACCGUCACUUCAACUAGUGUGUAGCAGGACACAGGAAGUUGUUCCUGUGGCACCUACACCAAUUGAAGUGGAAGCUUAUGAUAGUGAUCAUGAAACUUCGGAUCAAGUCACUACCAAACCUCGUAGGACGACGAGGAUGCGUGCUACUUCAGAGUGGUACGUGAUCCUGUCUUGAAAGCUAUGUUGUUAGACAACAAUGAACCUACGAGCUAUGGAGAAGCGAUGGUGGGCCCAUAUUCCGACAAAUGGUUAGAAGCCAUGAAAUCCGAGAUAAAUGGAUCUUUAAGAAGAAGACGAACAUGGACGGUAAUGUUACCGUCUAUGAAGCUUGACUUGUGGCAAAGAGUAUUUCCACAAGUUCAAUGAGUUGACUACGAUGAGAUUUUCUCAUCCGUAGCGAUGCUUAAGUCCGUCGGAAUCAUGUUAGCAUUAGCUGCAUUUAUGAAAUCUGGCAGAUGGAUAUCAAAAACAAGUUUCCUUACCAGUUUUCGUAAGGAAAGGUUGUAUGUGAUACAAUCAGAAAGGUUUUGUCGAUCCUAAGGAUGCUAAAAGGUAUGCUAGCUCCAGCGAUCCUUCCAUGGACUAGAGCAAGCAUCUCGGAGUCAGAAUAUACGCUUUGAUGGAGUGAUCAAAGUUUUUGGGUUUAUACAAAGUUUGUUAGAAACUUGUAUUUACAAUAAAGUGAGUGGGAGCGCUACAACAUUUCUGAUAAGUAUAUGUGAAUGACAUAUUGUUGAUCCGAAAUGAUGUAAAAUUUCUGGAAAGCAUAAAGGGUUGUUUGAAAGGAGUUUUUCAAAGGAAGACCUGGAUAAAGCUGCUUACAUAUUGGGCAUCAAGAUCUAUAGAGAUAGAUCAAGACGCCUGAUGAUACUUUCAAAGAACGAACACCUUGACAUGAUUUUGAUAGAGUUCAAAAUAGAUCAGCAAAGAAGGAGUUCUUGGCUGUGUUACAAGGUGUGAGUAUUGAGUAAGACUCAAGACCUGACCACAGCAGAAGAGAGAGAAAGGACGAAGGUCGUCCCCUAUGCUUUAGACGUAGGCUCUAUAGUAUGCUAUGUUGUGUACCACACAUGUAGUGUGCCUUGCCAUGAGUUGGUCAAGGGGUACAAUAGUGAUCCGGGAAUGGAUCACAUGACAGCGGUCGAACUUAUCCUUAGUAUCUAGUGGACUAAGGAAUUUUCUCGAUUAUGGAGGUGAAAAGGAGUUCGUCGUAAAGGGUUACGUCGAUGCGAACUUUGACACUAAUCCGGAUGGCUCUGAGUAGUAAACCGGAUUCGUAUAGUAGAGCAGUUAUUUGAAAUGGCUCCAAGUAGCGCGUGGUAGCAUCCACAAGAUGACAUAGAUAUUCGUAAAGCACACACGGAUCUGAAAGGUUCAGACCCGUCGACUAAUAACCUCUCUCACAAGCAUAACAUGAUCAAACCAGAACUCAUUGAGUGUUAAUCACAUAGUGAUGUGAACUAGAUUGUUGACUCUAGUAAACUCUUGGGUGUUGGUCACAUGGUGAUGUGACCUGUCAGUGUUAAUCACAUGGUGAUGUGAACUAGAUUAUUGACUCUAGUGCAAGUGGGAGACUGUUGGAAAUAUGCCCUAGAGGCAAUAAUAAAUAGGUUAUUAUUAUAUUUCCUUGUUCAUGAUAAUAGUUUAUUAUCCAUGCUAGAAUUGUAUUGAUAGGAAACUCAGAUACAUGUGUGGAUACAUAGACAACACCAUGUCCCUAGUAAGCCUCUAGUUGACUAGCUCGUUGAUCAAUAGAUGGUUACGGUUUCCUGACCAUGGACAUUGGAUGUCGUUGAUAACGGGAUCACAUCAUUAGGAGAAUGAUGUGAUGGACGAGACCCAAUCCUAAGCCUAGCACAAGAUCGUGUAGUUCGUUUGCUCAGAGCUUUUCUAAUGUCAAGUAUCAUUUCCUUAGACCAUGAGAUUGUGCAACUCCCGGAUACCGUAGGAAUGCUUUGGGUGUACCAAACGUCACAACGUAACUGGGUGACUAUAAAGGUGCACUACAGGUAUCUCCGAAAGUGUCUGUUGGGUUGGCACGAAUCGAGACUGGGAUUUGUCACUCCAUGUAAACGGAGAGGUAUCUCUGGGCCCACUCGGUAGGACAUCAUCAUAAUGUGCACAAUGUGACCAAGGAGUUGAUCACGGGAUGAUGUGAGUUACGGAACGAGUAAAGAGACUUGCCGGUAACGAGAUUGAACAAGGUAUAGGGAUACCGACGAUCGAAUCUCGGGCAAGUAACAUACCGAUAGACAAAGGGAAUUGAAUACGGGAUUGAUUGAAUCCCCGACAUCGUGGUUCAUCCGAUGAGAUCAUCGUGGAACAUGUGGGAGCCAACAUGGGUAUCCAGAUCCCGUUGUUGGUUAUUGGCCGGAGAACGUCUCGGUCAUGUCUGCAUGGUUCCCGAACCCGUAGGGUCUACACACUUAAGGUUCGAUGACGAGGGUUAUAGGGAAAGCAUGUACGUGGUUACCGAAUGUUGUUCGGAGUCCCGGAUGAGAUCCCGGACGUCACGAGGAGUUCCGGAAUGGUCCGGAGGUAAAGAUUUAUAUAUGGGAAGUCCUGUUUUGGUCACUGGAAAAGUUUCGGGUGAUAUCGGUAAUGUACCCGGACCACCGGGAGGGUCCCGGGGGUCCACCAAGUGGGGCCACCAGCCCUAGAAGGCUGUGUGGGCCAAGUGUGGGAGGGGACCAGCCCCAGGUGGGCUGGUGCGCACCCCCACAAGAGGCCCAGGGCGCAGGAAAGGGGGGAAGGGGGAAACCCUAGGCUCAGAUGGGCCUAAGGCCCAUCUAGUGGGGCGCCCCCUCUCUCCCCACUUUGGCCGCCCCCCCAAGCCCCAUCUAGGGCUGGCCGCACCCCUGGGGGGGGGGAACCCUAGAUGGGGGCGCAGCCCUCCCCCUCCCCUAUAUAUAUUGGGGUUUUGGGGCUGCCCAGGACAUGAGAAUGUCUCUCUUUCGGCGCAACCCUUCCCCUCUCCCAAGUCCUCCUCCUCUCCCGCAGUGCUUGGCGAAGCCCUGCGGGAUUGCCACGCUCCUCCAUCACCACCACGCCGUCGUGCUGCUGCUGGAUGGAGUCUUCCCCAACCUCUCCCUCUCUCCUUGCUGGAUCAAGGCGUGGGAGACGUCACCGGGCUGCACGUGUGUUGAACGCGGAGGCACCGUUCUUCGGUGCUUAGAUCGGAAUCAACCGCGAUCUGAAUCGCUACGAGUACGACUCCCUCAUCCGCGUUUUUGCAACGCUUCCGCAUCGCGGUCUACAAGGGUAUGUAGAUGCACUCCCCUUCCCCUCGUUGCUAGAUUACUCCAUAGAUUGAUCUUGGUGAUGCGUAGAAAAUUUUGAAUUUCUGCUACGUUCCCCAACAUGUACACACGCCUAGCUUGCUUAGUUAACACAGGUUGUUUAGCGUAAAGACGAUUGAUCGAACGACCUCAAGUGUUGAGAGAGUCACAGAGAUCGAGCUAGCUAAACUUUGAAGAGUAAGUAGUAGUUAAGAAUUUUGGAUGGAUUAAUCUCAUGUCGAUGAAAAUAGGUGUAUCAACUAUCGAUUGGGGGCAGCUUACAGGCUCACGUCGUCGGCCCACCGAUUAAUUGUGCAGGUCCUUUGACAAAUCGGCCGACCCGUCGCCAAGGUAGGUGCCAUUUCAAGUCUUCAAGUUUAUAAACGGUGCAUCUGCAUGCAUGCAGGAGCUGGUGAAGGAGUGUGAACAAUGGGCCAGGAGCGGCGUCGACGUGUGGUACGAGCCCCGCCAGGACAAGGUGUGGUAUGCCUACGCCCACCGCUGCAAGUUCGUUGCCAUCUUUGACGUAUCCUGCGCCGGAGUUCCUCGCCAACACCGCGCCGCUCCUCCUCCGCAACCCAGGCCUCACGCUCAUGCAGGCGUACUUGGAGUUCAGUACGUUCAGCUCCUGCCAAUUGCAUAUGCAUCCCUCGGAAGGGUGGUUGCCAAUUGUAAAAGCUGCUGCUAUAACUGUAUGUAGUGAACGAGUGCCUGCUGAUGAGGACGCAAGGGAUGUCCAUGGACUACCAUUUCAAGGUGGAGAAGCAAGCAUGGUCCUCACUCUGCUACUUCAAAUACAACUGGAGUCUCACAUGUGCUUGUUGACCCUAAUUUUAGGUCUUGGUAUUUAGUUUUGCUUGGUUUGUUUGGAACUAUAGGUGUUUGUCACAGGCAUGAGCCGGACUAAAGACAACAUGCAGUUAACCGCGAGUCAGACUAAAGAGUGAAGACAACAUGCAGUUAACUUAAGUAAGCGGAGACAAACAUAAAACAGUAAGGUACUUUGUUCCCAAUAUAUCUCAGAUGUUGAAAGAAUAUUAAAAGAGGUAAGACUUGUACCUGUACUAACAGUUUGAAUUGGCUCUUGGGAAUCUCUGAAAGUGAAAACCAUGAUGUUGAUAUAUCUGUGAUUGAUAGUUCGUGUGGUGCUGCACAAUGGUAUACAGACUUCAAUAAAAAGGACAAAAAUUGAAAAAUAUAAGAAUAGUUCAUCAUCUUUUGACUAAUUUUGAAUCUAGGCCAACAGUUCAACAUCUUCUUUCACAAGUUUUCAAAGAAACAAUUCGAAAUCUGCAGAUGAUCACUACAACGUCAAAUCCAGAUGCCCUUUGACAUCUUAUGGGUGAAACUGGAUUGUAAAAAGUAAAUCUUAUUAGCGAUGUCCCAACCCUCAAAUUGAUAUUUUCUAUACUGAUAUGCAGACUUCCAAAUUGGGAAAUUUUCGAUCGUGAUAUGAUUUGGAGAGUUGAUGCAUGAUUUCAGAUGGCUACCAAAUUGGAAAAAUUUCAACCUUCACCAGUAUAGAGGUAUUUCACACGUGCAGGUUUAAUUCCUGAUUGCAGUGCAUGUCAGAUUCAGUUUGUGCAUGAAAAGUCUGUAUAUGUGUAUACCAAUAAUGAUAACUUUGUUUUCAAAUUCAAAUGCACCUAUUGUCCGCAUGACAAGUGCGUGAAUAAAUUAGUAUCAUGUUGCCCACAUCAGGCUUAUAAAUUUUUUCUGAAUAAUGUGUAGAAAAUAUUGAUGUGUACUUCCCGCGGUGAGUGAGCCAGAGCGCAUGAGACGUAUUCUCAUAGCCUACCGCCACCAGUCAAGUACCAAGGUGGUUCUCGAUCGAUAUUGAGCAUGAUGAGUACUUCCUCUCUCGUCGUGUCGCUGAUACAGGCCCCAUCUGCAUGUGAUCUACUUUUUUUUGAUAGAUUGGAAAAGGAGAUGCUUUAAUAGGAAUAAAGGAAUCAGAAGAGCAUGACAGAGAAAGACAUCGAACGGGCAUAGUAGAAGAACCUUUCAUGCAAAUGUCAUUAUGUACAUUUUCGCUGUUAUAUGUUGAGAACCUGAAGAAUACACACACAUUUAUGUAUUUCGUAUGAUUGGAGUCCGUUCUCGUAAUUUUCUGUUAACCAGGCAUGUCGGUUGUCCACCUUAAUGUUCCUGUCAGUCUGAACUCAUCACAUGUUCUCGAUUUUCAGUCAUGCUUUCACCUUUGAUCUACAACUGUGUGAAAUCAAAACAUAUGUCUGAGGCUCAAUGUAAUGUUGAAACUUGGAGGUUAUCAAAUCAUAUGCUGUUGGGGCUGUAAGAGCUUAAACUAACUAUUGCAUACAUUUUGGAUCUAGAUUUACCCUUUGUAUUUGUCCAUGAUGAAGAAAAGGCGUACAUAGAGCUGGAUUUGUUAAGCUUCUCUAUCCACAAGGAGGUCAAAUGAUCCCUCCUGAGAAAGAGUCAGUAAACAUUCCUCUUUUGCAAGUCAAAUGUAUUUUGGUUUGGAAGUAGUAUAUGUUGUUUAAGAGGGUCUAUUUUCCAGAAAAAAAUGUUAUUCUCUUGUUUUUAUACACAAAAUUUUGCCACUUCAUGUCGUUCAUGUUUCCUUUUAGUUAGUUGUGACCAAUAUUGCUUAAGUUCCCUUUCAACAAACUAAUUGCCAAAAAAGCGAUGAGAAGAAUUUUUGAUUCAUUUAAAAUAUAUAAUAUAUAAUACAAGAUUUUGAAAAGAGGGCUCACACUGUGGCAAAAAAGGUGAAGGGAAAGAAAUGGCAAUGAGAAAAAUAUCGCUUUAUCUUCUUAAUAGGAGUGAGUGGUUAAAGAGACACGACAAUUGCCUAUGAAGGAAGAAGCAGGAGGGAAGAAGCGUAGAAAUCCAAAUCACAUAUUGUCAUGUUCGACGCACAAUUUUUAAUUAAAAUAAUUAUUUAAUAACUAUGCAUUUUGUUGCUCCAUGGCAACGCAUGUGCAUUCAGCUAGUACCUUGUAACGUUGGUAAACUUGUUAAAAAUGUAAGAUAUGAAAAGGGCAACGAUUUGGGUGGGGUUUUCUCUUUGUGUGGGUCAGCCAGUGCAUUGAAGUAGCAGAAUGAAUUAAAUUUAAAGAGGUGGCUGCGUGCAGUUAAAUUCGAAAUUCGGUGGUAUGAUGGCCCCUUUUUGUUUUGACGCGGCGAUGCAAGUGGUGCUACUCCAAAUGUAGGGCAGUCACAGUACUGGCACGAGCGUAACUCACGUGACGCCAAUCUAAUUACUGUGCUGAAACCCCUGGGCCGGCCUGCUGGCUCGCUGCAUCGUCUGCACCGGCAACUGCAAGUACAGGGCUGGCUUGAAUGCCGUUCCCGAGACGAGAGGCGAGCCUGUCCCCGCCCUCCCGGGCGCCCGCCUCUGUCCUCUGCCCUGUCCUUUACCGCCAGCCAGCGCACCACGGGGCUGCAUGCGAUGCCAGCCAGGGAAUUUCGCCUCGCCGAGCAGGGUAUGCGAUGCAUGUAGGAGUAGGAGACGCAGGCGGCCGGCCAGGGUUUCACGUGCCCCGCCCGCGGACGGAUACAUUCCCCAUCAUUUCUCUGCUUGCAGCGGAUGGAUGCCGCACGUGCUGCCAGGCAUGCGAGGGAGGGAGGGAGCAGGCCAGCCGCCAGCGAGCGAGCGCGACGCUUUCCCCCUGGCCCGGCGACAGCGCGGCGGCCACCGCCGUGUGACGACCGACGAGUGACGGCGACUCUCCGGUCCGGUGGUGAUGCGUCGACCUAGUACCUAACAUGACACCAUCCGUUUCAAGUGUGCAUCGGCUGGACAUUCCUAUAUAUUCACGCUACCAUACUCUACCAGCAAAGAUCGAGCAAGCAGAAACAAACCCAACCGUACCGUACGAGCCAAAGUCAGCCGUCUCACCAUCGGCUUGCAUCUGCACGAUGACGACGAUGCAUGCGGGCGAACUGGCGAUCGCUGUAGCGCGUGCCAAAAAAGUCCGGCGAGCCGGACAGGCGAUGUAGCUAGCUCCACACCCUCUCCGCUCCUACGUGCCGCGUCGCCGGUGACAGCACCGAACCGGAUGGAUGGGGACAGCAGCCUCGUUUCCCCAUGACCUUCAAGUGUACGUAAGAUCCAAGCUCUCGUGGCUGCACCCCGUUACUGUAGCCUGAUCUGUACGCGGCAUCCACAUCCACUGGCUAAAGCUCUGCAUGCCAUCGUGCAGUGACUCGGUUACACGUACGUACGUGUACCUAUGCGAUCGACCACCCUGGACUGGACAAGAAACAUCAGUUUUAAAAAAACCUUGGGAUUGGAAAAGUACGUACCUGCAACUACAAGUAUAGCCAUGCAUGUAUAUACGACUAAACAAAUAAACAUGGGAGCAUCUGAUUAGCCACAGCCUUUGCAGUCAGCACCACAUGAGAUGAGGGUGAGAUUCUGAGGCCUCAUGAUCGAUCCCAAGAGGCAAGGGUCGCCACAAACAUCCACAGGGUUUACAUAUCACUAAUGCAUAUACAUACCCAUAUUUAAAGCGCCCUUUGAUCUGAUUGUGCAGGAAUAUUCAGACUGCCUGUAAAGGCCACACCACCACCUCCCGCCCUGCAAGCUAGCUAGCUGCAGCUGCAGGACAAAGAGAAUAUAAAAGACUGGAUGAGCAGAUUAGCCGGUAGUUUAAUCCAACCCGUUCAGCUUAAAAGCACAUAUGAGAGGCUGAGAACACAUGGUGAAGCUUAUUUUAGUGCCGGCACUGAACUGGCAGUCAAAGAAUAUUGGCCAUAAAUCCAGCGAUCCGUACGUGCACGCUCUGCUAGCUCCCCGGCCCCUGUUAAUCGAAUUGUUAAUUGUUAAUCAUGCAUGCAUGCAUGCAUGGGAACUUGCGCAUGCAUGUUCUAGCUAGUUCCUCCCGGUUUCUGCAUGCUGGGUAGCUAGCUAAUCCAAGAUGCUCAUGCUCCCCGAUCAGCCACGGGGAGGUUGGCUGCGUCCGCGCCAAAUGACCCCAGCUAGCCCUCGAAUAAUUAAUCGGCCGGCCCAUUGGCAGCCUAACGGGCCGGUAAAGCACGUAGAGGCCGUACGCACCCACAAAGUGACUGCAAUAAUUUUAUUUUUUUGAAACUAAGUGACUGCAAUGAUGAUGGUGAUGAUCUAUGUACAGAUUAAUCUGGGGCGACUUGCACUUUAAUCAGACACCGGCUAAUUAAGCUCGCUAGAUAGCACUUGAAUGCUGCGUACUAGUUAGUAGUCUGUUAGCGGCAGUACUAUGUGCUGGGUUGGUGCAUGGCAUGAUGCAUGUUACUAGCUAGGAGCUGGAGUUCGCGUAUAGUACAACGAAUAUGUGCGGUUAGCGCGCUCUAAGCUGGCGGCAGCUAGCCAGUCGAGUGGAUGCUGAUGCACAUGCAUGCAUGCAAAGUACUCCCUCCGUUCCUAAAUAUAAGUCUUUCUAGAGAUUCCAAUAUAGACUACAUACGAAGCAAAAUGAGUGAAUCUACACUCUAAACUAUGUCUAUAUACAUCCAUAUGUAGUUUAUAUUGAAAUAUCUAGAAAGACUUAUAUUUAGGAACGGGGGGAGUACUUGUGCGUGUGUUUUGGAGUUAGACAGGCCGUCUCUGUCGGGAGCGAGCGAGGUAGCUAGCAAGCAAUGCCGGCCGUCCGUCGAUCGGCGCCCGCCAGCACUGGCCAGUGCACGAUGCGCCCGUGGGCGGUGCAUGGAUGGACCGGACCGGCCACUCCCCGGCCCGCGCGCCUAACGCACGCGUGCUCAUGCAUGCGCCCCGCGCGACCAGCCAGACUAGAUUGGUGUGGUGUGGUGUGGUGGCUGCCAGCUACGGGCGGCGUCGUCCUGGCCCAACCCAACCCAACCCAGCCCCAACGGAACAGAACAGCUCAACGAUUCCACGCCACGGAGGAGGACCAUGUCCAUGCGCGCGUGCAUGCAUGGACGGACGGACGUAGGCGAGCGGCCAAUGGCGCGGCGACAGGCGCGGCGGCACCGGGCGCGCGACGUACCGACCGGCGGAUGGGCGGUCGGUCGCUCGAUGAUAAAGGCCAUGCACGGGUCACCGCUCGGCCGGUGAUGUAUCCGCUCCGCCUGCGCCUGCGUGCCGUGGGGGUGGGGAUCCGCGCGCACAUGCACCAAAAGAUCGCCUGGUGGGGGUCUGUCUGGGGACUCCACUCCUCUUGCUCUCGCCCGCGCGCGCGCAAAGCCCCCAGCGGACUACGAGAGUGACGCAGCGUCUAACACAUGCAUGGUGGCCUGCCCUGCCAUGCAGCAGGACUAGCUCCAUCCAUUGGUCGAUCGACAACCUGUAACGCGAGGACGAUACGUAUGACACGCAUGCACGCAUCAUGGCGCUGUACUAAUAAGCUCGUACGUACGCACGCACGCCUGGGGUGUGUCUUAUCGCGAUCGAUGGAUGCCCUCCCUCCGUAUUGAGCGAGGACGAUAUGGUGGCCUGCCCUGCCAUGCAGCAGGACUAGCUCCAUCCAUUGGUCGAUCGACAACCUGUAACGCGAGGACGAUACGUAUGACACGCAUGCACGCAUCAUGGGGUGAUGCGAUGACAUGGACGAAUCGAGGUUUCAGUCGGUUUCACGAGAACCAGCCCAGCCCAGCCCAGGUAGUACGUACGUACGUACGUACGUCGUCGUGGCAUUUCCAGCAGGGCGAUCGAACUUAUUACUACCAUUUACCCAGUGCAAAGCAAGGGAAAAGGUUUGUCGCACGCCAAUGAUGAGCGAGCUGUGAGCCCGGCCGGGGUGACGGCAUCAAUGCGACAGGCCCGCACGAGCGGGCUGGUGCGCCGCGCUUCGGACCAUACACACACUUACGUGUCGGCAUCCGGCAGGCCGACCGACCGUGUCCUCUCCUCUCCUCUCUCGCCCACUUUCCACUGCAUCCCCCACCGCCCACGCGCGCACCAGAGCGCCUCCCCGUCCGUCCUCCCCCUGCGCCAGAGCCAACACCAACAGCCAAGCACAUCAACUAACUAGUGAUCCAUCAAUUACCCAAACGGGCGCCACGCAGACUGGAUCUAUCCCUCCCCCACCCCCGGCCGCCCAGCCACCAACCGGCGAGGCCUCCCGGACGUACGUACCAGCGGACAGGACUGUGGUGGCUCCGAGGGACCAUGCAUGAGCAUGAGCAUGACACGAACGCAUCAGUGCCACUGGCGGUGGUUACGCUAUAGGGGAGGGAGGGUUGCUUAAGGCUUGGGUAGCUAGGGACCCGUCCAUCCACCCAUGGAUUUGGAGUUAAUGUCAUUGGCAGCUAACUAUAGUAUGUUGCUAGUGCUAGCUGUGCCUGAUUAGCAGCAGAGCACGGCGGCACUGUUGGCAUGGCCAGAGGCCCCAGCUCAGCCGUGUCGUGCCCUGGGGGAGAGGAGCACUGCAGAGCACCCGAUGAUUUGACCCGGGGGCCGUGUCGCCUGCGCCCCGCCUAGCUAGCUGCUGCAUCCAUGCCCCGCCCCCGCUCCCACGCCCGCUGCAUGCGUCGCGUACGUGCGUCCAUCUCAUCGCUCGAUCCACCGCGUGACCAGCCAGCGCUGGCGCACCUCGAUCCUGCUCUGUCCCACGGUCUGUAGCCAUCUAGUCUAGAUUAUUACUCCUCCUCCUCCUAUAUACUGUUCCCUGGGCAUCCGACGGUGCCUUGGCUCUCUCAACACUGUAGCGUUGUGCGCCAACUUUACUUGCCCCUUGUAGCUCCUCAUAAGCUGGAUGCCCGGCCUGGCCGCACUAGAUUAUUGCUCACUCCCCUCUCUCCAAAACAUGCUGCCCGAGUGAGUAUAUGCCUGCAGGGUGAAGUCUGUUUUGAACCCUGAGAGGGUAGUGAGCGUCCGAAACGAACCCUGAAGUCCAAAUCCCUGAAGUCCGUGUCCUGUAGUCGCUGAUCCCGGAUUUAUUUGACCUUUAGUGCGUAUUAGGAGGGGAUUAGCCGACGUGGCACCGUGGGGCGGUGGGUUUGCUACUUUAAACGCCACGUCGACUCAGCCACACAUCUUCAGAAGCACUCGAAGCGGGGAGGGGAACCAAAUUAGGGUUCAGGCGAGGGGAAGAGAGUGGCGACUGGCAGGCGAUUGGCGGCGGAAUCGAUGAUGUCGUCGGCGUCGCGUGGCUCAUCUGCUUCUCGCGGCGAAGGGAUUCGCCGGAGAGGCGCAGCAGCAAGGUCCCCGGUGCCCUAUCGGGAGGAGCCCAUGGAGUACGAGCCGGCGAUUUUUUGCCCCAAGUGCGGGAAGAAAGCGCCGCGGUGGAUUUCCUGGAGUCCGGCGAACCCUGGAAGAAGGUACUAUGCAUGCGUUGAAGCUCGGGUAUGCUCUGAUCUGAUGUGUUCUUGCGCUCGUGCUUUCUUCUCUGAUUUGCUCUGUUUUUUGGUAUGCCCUCUGACGAACAUUGCCGAUUGAACAGCACGGCUUCAUUCAGUGGCAUGAUGGGCCUACAACUGAAUUUUUGCGUCGAUUGCUGGGAGAUCUUCGAGAUAGAGUGUGGAGGCUGGAGGAGGAUGUUGAUGCACUGUUAAAUGAAGGAGAUUCACGAGCUGCUGCUUUAACCGAUGGAGUGAUUGGAGGAAAUGAAAAAAUUGCAUCAGUUAGUGAGAAAUGUGUUAGCAGAGAGAUGUUGUUGUAUGGCAUUGUGCUAUUUCUGUCUGGUAUGGUGUUAGGGAUGAUUUUAGGCUAGUGAAUCAGUUAGUAGUGAGUUGGAGGCACUGUACUGAAUUUAGAGCAAUGUAAUGGUAUUUGAGACAAGUUUCAAUGCAAUUCUGUUUGAAAAAAAAUUCUUUUAAUGAGAUAUGCAGUGCCAUUGCUCUCUUUUGUGCACUUUGUAGAGUAAAUUUUGACAGAAAAAUGAGGAAAUAUGUAUGAAAUGUUGAGAGUUUGCUGUCAAAAGGAAUACAAGAUCAUCUUGACAGAUUUCUGUCAAAAUGUUGAGAGUUCAGCAAAAUAUAACCACAUUCUAACAUGGUUUUUCACCCAACAACAAAAUAUCAUGCAAAAAGAACAAUUCAAAAGUUCCCACUUGCUGUGAAGAAGGGCAUGAACCCUCUGACACUGCUUGUUCCCGUUCCUCUCCCUGUAGCACUGGUUGUUGCUGUUCCUCUCCCUCUCUUUGCUCCUCUGCCCCUGCCAGUAGAAGUGCUGCCUCCAGGUGCAUCAUUUGCAGUGCUUGUUCCUGGUCCUCUCACUCUCUUUGCUCCUCUGCCCCUGGCAGUAGUUGUGCUUCCUCUAGGUGCAUCAUUAGCUCUAGGAGGCCUGAAACUUGUAUUUGCAGGUUGAGAGCUUGAACCUGCUGCUGACUGAAAGCUUUGAGGAGCUUGUGUCCUUCUUGCAGGUUGUGUAUUUGCUGUCCUGCUUUUUAAUGCCUCGGUCUGUGCUUCCUGCAACCCAGUAACAUAGCAUGUAGUGUUAUAAUUGUUUGCAAAAAAGCAACAUACAGUGCAAUAAUUCAAUGCAAAAACAGAGCAUAUAGUGUUGUACAGGAGUAAAUUACCUCUGUUGCUCUAAGUUUUUUCCCUCUCUUAGCAAGAAAUGCCUUUGUUUUUUUGUUUCUAUCUGGAUUAUUUUUGCAAGAACCUUUGUUGUGUCCCUUGGCCCCACAACACCCACAAGUUAUCUGAAUGCCAUGUUUGCUCAAUUUCUUGCCCUUGGAUGCUUCCCCCUCUUCUCUUUUCCUGUCAUUUCCUGUCAAUUUCUUUCUUGCUCCUGGCAUGGCAAUAUAGCCAGGUGCCUCUGGCCUAGGGUUUUGAGAAACUGGCCAGUUUUCUUCACCUUCUACUGGUUGUAGGCAAUGCUCGUAUAUCUUGUUGAAAGUCUCAAUAUGAUAGCACUUGUGAAUGUAAUCUUCUAUUUUUCUGCCACUUUUGUAGAUAGCACUAAUUGCAUGGCAACAAGGGAGGCUUGCUAGCUGAAAGUAGCCACAUGAGCAUGUCCAUUUGUCAAGGUUCACUGUGUAUCUUUUUCCUCUGCCCUGCAAGUGUUUGACCUCAAAUCCUUCCUUGCCAUUCCAAAGCACCUCAAGAAACUGAGUUCUCUUAAUGCUGACCUUUAGUUUCUUGAACACACCAGGGCAAAUUGUUCCAUUCCAUCUAGCACUUUUGCUUCUCUGUUCCUGAAUUCUGACAAAGACUUUAUUCCUUAUCUUCUCUUGCUGUGAAUGAUAGGGUAGUACCUUGCUUCUAAAAUGGCAUUGUUGAAUGACUCGCAGAGGUUAUUAUCAACAGACUCACAGUUUGCUCCAACUAGAAAAAAUGACCUAGCCCAAUGCUUAGGCUCUGUUCUCAUGAUGUCUUUGGCACCUUCUGGAGUUUUUUGAGCUAGCCUAGCCUUGUUAUAGUUGAAAUCCUCCUUGUUGCUAGACUUAGCAAUUGCCCAGAACCUUUUCUGCAAUUCAUGAUCUCUAUGCUUCUUUCUCCAAUUGGCAUAUAUAUGCCUAGCACACAUCCUAUGCUCUGCCCUAGGCAAGUAAUCUCUCACACUGUUAAGCAACCCCUGCAAGAGUGGCACACAUGUCAAUAAGGAUGGCAAGUUUAGUUGGCGAGCACGACAAAUGAUCAAGCUAGGUGAAGUUCUUAAAGGAUGGCAAGUUUAGUUGGCGAGCACGACAAAUGAUCAAGCUACGUGAAGUUCUUAAAGGAUGGCAAGUUUAGUUGGCGAUCACGACAAAUGAUCAAGCUACGUGAAGUUCUUAAAGGAUGGCAAGUUUAGUUGGCGAGCACGACAAAUAUACCUUUUGCUGGUCAGAAAUGAAAACCCAUCCAGCUCCUUCAUUAUUAAUGUCCAAGUCUUUUAUUAGAAGCCCAAUGAACCACUUCCAGCUAUCAGUUGUUUCUUUCUCCACUACUGCCCAUGCAACAGGAUACAUCUGGUUGUUAGCAUCCCUAGCUAUGGCAGCAAGUAGUUCACCUUGGCAUGCUCCUUUGAAAAAGCAUCCAUCAAGCCCAAUGACUUUCCUGCAACCAGCUUUAAACCCUUGCUUCAGUGCAUGAAAACAUACAUAGAAUUGCUGAAAAACAUUGUUCUCCAUAUGUGUAGGAUCCAAGCAAACAGCCACUGUACUGCCAGGGUUGCUCCUAAGCAACUCUAAUUGGUAGUCAAAUACCUUGGUGUACUCACUCUUCAUGCCACACAAUAACUUGUCCAUUACAAUUUUUUUUGCAGCCUUACACUUUGAAGUUGACACAUCAGCAAACAUGUCUUUCAGUACAGUUGCUUUAAUGCUAUCGAUCUUCCACAUUGGAUUGGCCAAUAUGAAGUGCUCAUAUCUCUGUGCUAUGACCUUUGCAGUAACUAAUCUAUUCUCUCUGUUUUGUGCACACUGGUGGUCAUCAUCAAAGGUUAUUAUUUGAAACCUUGAGCAUCUGGUGGUCUUUGCUGCAUAGACUACCCAUGGACAACCAGGCCAUCCACAUUCAACCCUGACCCUGGUCCCCUCUGACUUCUUGAAUCUCAUGCUUCUUUUGGUAGCAAGACCAUAUCUUUUCACUGCCUUGACAAACUGAUUUUUGCUCCUGAAAACCAUGCCCAAACUGAAGUGUGGUAUAUCAGAAUCUGGGUUAAACCUUGGGUAUUUGCUCUUGCUUCUCACCAUGUUCCCAUCACUAUCUUCAUCAUAACUAUAAUCUUCAUCAGAUGACUCAAAUUCCAUGUCCUCUACCACCUCCUCAACAUUUGCAAUGAAAUCAAUUGGUACUGCCCCUGUUGCAUCUGAUUGAACCCAUUUUCUAGAGUCUUUCAUUUUCUUUCUAAAUUUCCUUGCAUGUUUUCUCAUCUCAACUACUUCUGAAUCUUCUCCACUGUCAUCAGUGUGAGGCACAUAUUCAGUGUCCUCUGAAUCUUCUGAAUCUGAGUCUUUCUUUGCAUUUUCUGCCGCUCCUUGCUCUGCCUCUAGCACUGUUGCUUCCACAUUUGUUGUUGCUCCUUGCUUUGACCCAUGCUGUGUUGCUCCAUCCACAUCUGCUGCUGCUUUAGUAGACUGAGACUCAUCUGGAUUCAACACUUGAGAACUCUGAGAUGCUUGAGAUGGACCACCUGUUGCAUUUCUUCUCUUUAAGGGGCUGCUAAUUACUGCAGUGACAACACCAUUGUCAUUAGGAACAAGCACCUGCUCAAGUAAAUUUUGUUCCAGACCUGCAUUGCCAGUGUCAUCAUCUUCUGCACCUGCAUUGACAACAAUGUCUUCAUAUUCUGCAGUCAUAACAGCAGGAAAAUCCUCAUCACUUGCAUAAUACUGAAUUUCAUCUGCAAAAUCAGAGCCAUUGUCAUCUUCUCCUACUGAAUCUUCUUCCCCAUUGUAUUCCACAUAUAUAUCAGCUACUCCACCAUCAGUAAUAUACUCUGACAUUUUCAGGCAACCCUCAUCAUCAUACAAAAACAGUAGGCCAUUCACCAAAUCUCUGCCAGGCAAAAGAAAGUAGAACUUCAUGCUUUCCUUGACAACCAUAUGAUCCUUAAGAAAGCCCUUCACCUCCUGCAAUGAUAACUUGUCCCUCUCAAUCUCUGAGUAGGCCACUUCCCCCCCAACNNNNNNNNNNNNNNNNNNNNNNNNNNNNNNNNNNNNNNNNNNNNNNNNNNNNNNNNNNNNNNNNNNNNNNNNNNNNNNNNNNNNNNNNNNNNNNNNNNNNNNNNNNNNNNNNNNNNNNNNNNNNNNNNNNNNNNNNNNNNNNNGAUGAAAUCUGACAUUCAAUAUCUCUGCUGGGUCCAUGGAUUCAGCAAAAAGCACCUACAUUGCAUCGAUUUCAGAGGAUUAACACACUAUACUGCAAGAUUGGACCACAAAUCAACCUAUUCAGACACCAAAAUUUACCCUGUUUCGCCCUCCAAAAACCCUAAACCUAACCCAGAAAAGAAAGAGGAGAGAUACAACGAUUGGACAGAGGAGAACGACAAGGCAUACCUUGCUCUUUGCCGUUCGACUAGUCGUCAACCACCGUCGCGAUCAUGUGCCACCGUCGCCGCCGUCCAGUGAGAAGCCAAGGCGUCGCGGGAGAGAAGGAAGAGGAAGGGGCGAAGUGCAGAGGAAGGGGCGUUGUGCACCUUGGUCUGGUUCGACCCCAAUAACCUUGUUUGACUCGUCAGGCCCACCUGCAGGAUGUGACUCAGCGCGAUCCCAGCCUUUCCCGAGCCACGUAUGCAUUCCCUUGUUUGGAUACGCACUAAAGGUCAAAUAAAUCCGGGAUCAGCGACCACAGGACACGGACUUCAGGGAUUUGGACUUCAGGGUUCGUUUCGGACGCUCACUACCCUCUCAGGGUUCAAAACAGACUUCACUCUAUGCCUGCAUGGGGUGCUGAGUUGACCCAGGUAGAGUAGGUAGGUAGGUACGUGCCAAUAUCCUGAGCCAAUCGAAGCGCGUAGUUAUUGAUCGCUUGCAGUUUUGGGCGUCUCACUCGGCCUGCCUGGCCCUUGGUCACCCCAUCGAACUAAUUUGAAUUUCCAAAGAAGAUCUCCUGAAUCCAAUAUAUUCAGGCCCCUGCCAGUGAUCUUGGAGCAGCUCAGGAGCUAGCCCAUACAUUAUUGAUCCCGUGAUCUCGUAAACAAGUCUUCCUCCCGUUGAAAAACGUUGCCACUCCUCGGUCCCGGGCUAGUAUUAUCGAUCUCUUGCUUCAAUGCAGGUUUUUGCUUGUUGCUGCUUUUGUCAAUUGUACGCUGAUCGAUGACUAAUUGACUACACUAUAUCGUGGUAGUGCAGCUAAUGACUCAAAUUUGGACGCUUCCUAGAGAGUUUUUUUUAGGGUGCAGGUUUGAUAAGACGGGACAGGAGAGUCUCCUGUCAUUGUUAAUGCGGAGUGAUCCUCGAUCCUGCGGGAUCUGCUCUAAGAAAUCGCUCCAGUAAGCAAGUUGGCGUCAACUAUGACGCGGCUCAAGUGGGCUGCGCUCCUUCUGCAUCCCAAGAUGCAAUUUCUUUUCGUACGCGUUCGUGCUUCGUUGUACUCCUACGAUGCAUGCUUCGUUUUAGUCUCGGUACAGUCAUUUCUACGCGUUCGUGCUUGAUUGUUUGUUUCGUAAAGUAAGCUGCUUGCCUCUCGAUAUCGUACGUCGUUCCACGAAUUUGGCGUCUCACUGCCCAAUAUAAUGGCUACAGCUCGCACAUUGGACGUGAUCGUGUAGGUUGUUCAACCGACACACCGUGAGGCCGCGUGACAGGUGAAUUACUAGUGAAUACGUGAUUUACUUUUUGAGAAAUACGUGAUGAUGCUUCUUUUUUAAUGAUAGUAUGUGUCUCAUACAUAUCAUAAAAAUUAAAGUACAAGUCAGUAAAGACCGACAUGACAAAACUGAAAAGAUAGCAGAACAUCUCUGAGUUUGACACCAACGCUCAUCACCUGCCUCCGGCACCACCACAGCAGCCACCGAAGAAAAAAUAAUCACAGAUCACACCUCCUCACCCGAGCUCGACACGGCUCCAUCACUAAUAUGCAGCUUUACGAACCUGCAAGGUGGCUCACCAAAAGUGAAGCCCCUUGCCGUUGAAUGAAUCAGACCGAGGCAACACCCCGGACACACCAUCGAACUUCAGAUCUGGCACCCCACCACGACUAAGACGCCGAAGGAGGAAACCAUACCUGUCAUCCACGAACCACGAACCCAACACACGUUUCGUCUUCCAGAUGUUGUCGAUGGAGACCACAAUCUGCAUCCGCUCCUGGACUACCUACCAAGCUCCGCGCCGACGGUAGAGCAAACGCCGUCGCAACGACGGAGCCCGAGGACACAGGUCACCACGAGGAUGCCGCCGCCGCCACGCCGUCCUUGGUUGAACAGACUAGUUUCCAAAUUCAUCCCCAACCAGAGGACCGAUGGCCUCGUCAGAGAAGGAUCCGAAGAAUAUUUAUUCAACACUGUCAUCGUCGCCGCCGAAGCCAAGACAAUGAACAACCUAAAAACCUAAACUACGAGAGAGUAAAAACAAUCCACACACAUGAAUCCGGCGAUCCCCCUCACCACCGACGACCAAGGUCGCCGGCAGAGGGGAGCCGCCGGAGGACGGCACUGGAAGAUUGGCCUCUGCUGGCGGUGGCUAGGGUUCCAGCCGCCUGCAGGGACGAGAGGAAAAGGAACGACUUCCAAAUACGUGAUGUUGUUGUAGCGUGCUCUCUGCAAUGUCGGGCUGUAGCCGUAGAAAUGGAGUACCUACGACGAGCGCUUAUUGUACCAACAUAAGCUUUUGCAGUUCAUUCUUGCUACAUCUGAGUCGACUGAGACUUAGUCUCAGCUGAUGCUAUAUACAUGAGAUCUUCAUUCAGAUUUUCAUAAUUUUUUGUUUAGUUUUAUCUUUUUAUUACUUACAUGCUAUGUCACUUAGAGACCACAUCCUCUGCAGUUUUAUGUCAUGUCCUAUGCAGGCAGAGAUAUUUCACCGCUAGAGCUAUUUAUCGCCUAUAGCGAGGCAGGGCUCCAGCACGCCUCUGGCGCGACGCUACUAGGCCAAAUUAGCAUUGUAGCUGCGGACCUUGUAGUUUCUUGUCGAAGUUUUUUUUCACUGCGGAGUUUUUGGUUUUCUUCGCUUUUGAUAUAUUUUUUAACAUAUGUCUACACUUUUUGCAUACACAUUGUACAUUUUGUGUAUACAUCGGGAAUAUUUUGUAUACAUGUUUAACUUUCUUCAAAUGCAUGAGUAAAAAAUUUCCAUAUGCAUGUUUUGAUGUCUAUUUUCUUACAUACACAUUGUACAUUUUUGUAUACAUAUAAAAAAAUUUAUACAUGUUUAAUAUUUUCCAAAUACUCCCUCCGACCCAAAUACAUCUAGAACAUCCGUUUGAUUGAGUAGUAAUAUGGAUGACACUAUAUGAUUUUGAACAUGUUUUCGAAUACAUGCCAAAAAAAUUCAAAUACAUGUUGAUUUUUUUUAAUGAUACACAUAUUUUUUAAACCAUGCAAACAAUUUUUAUAUUCAAAGUGUCACAAAUAUAUAUUUGAAACUUAUAAACAUUUCUAAAAUUUAAUUUAUAUAUUUUAUAAUUCCACUAAAUAUUUUUACAAAAUUUAGCAUAUUUUUUAAUGUAUGAAUAUUUCUGAAUAUGACAAACAUUUUUUAAUGGCAUUGACAUUAUCGAAGUUACACUAACAACAAAAUUACACUGUGAUAACAUUUUAAAAAUCUGCAAUGAACGAUUUUCAAAAUUUAAAUAAAAGUAAUUCAGAAUAAUUAUACUAUUCCCGUAUACGAAAAAUAAAUAAGAAAAAAAGCAAGGCAAAACAAAACGAAUGAGCGCUGUAGCAACUAAUGGGCCACCCAACUACCACGUCAUACAGAGGCGAGAUGGAUGGUAUGCUUGCUGCGGGCGAGACAUAUCCGGGGAAGUCCUAUAGGACGCUUUUUGCGUCAAAAUGCUGGGGCUUCGCACAGAGAGUCCAGGUCGUGGCCUUUCUGGGCCGUUUUUUUUCGACAGCAGGGAUUGGCUCCAAAAGAAGGUGCCAUCCCGGGAAAUCGAUCCCAGUAUCCCGUCCUGAAGAGAAGGCGAUACAACCAGUUGAGAUAGUAAGCUUCAGUGAUUACAACACAACACCAACUUCUAAGAACCGAACACCAGCACAGAUGCAAAGAAUUUCUGAAAUUUUGAAAGCAAUUUUUCUAAGGCAGCGCAAAUCAUAAAUGCUGAAAAACAUUUUCUGAAUAUCGUUUACACUUUUCUGAAAUGGGAACAUAUUUUGUAAUUUCAAUUAUUUUUUUGGAAAAGCUAACAUUUUUUCAAACUCCUAAAAAUGGAAACAUCAACAUUUUCAAAA
Molecule: long non-coding RNA, 32998 nt
Filed under: Triticum aestivum (bread wheat)
Lineage: Eukaryota; Viridiplantae; Streptophyta; Magnoliopsida; Poales; Poaceae
Description: long non-coding RNA (TAES_LNC009055)
Source: RNAcentral